Molecule: ribosomal RNA, 253 nt
Filed under: uncultured bacterium
Lineage: Bacteria
Description: partial 16S ribosomal RNA
Rfam family: Bacterial small subunit ribosomal RNA
Source: RNAcentral
UACGUAGGGUGCGAGCGUUAAUCGGAAUUACUGGGCGUAAAGCGUGCGCAGGCGGUUUUGUAAGCCAGAUGUGAAAUCCCCGGGCUUAACCUGGGAAUGGCAUUUGGGACUGCAAGGCGUGAGUGCGGCAGAGGAGACUGGAAUUCCUGGUGUAGCAGUGAAAUGCGUAGAUAUCAGGAGGAACACCGAUGGCGAAGGCGGCAUCCUGGACCGACAUUGACGCUGAGGCGCGAAAGCCAGGGGAGCAAACGGG